GUAACAUAGAUCGCCAAAUCAAUUCUUUUUAAACAUCUCUGCAUGCACCACCAUAUUCCUCAAAUCGGGGUGUUGCACCUCUACACACGGUAAAACACAAACUUUGGUUUGUUUUCGCCGAUAAGCCAUUCCGAUUUCUUCUACUGCAUUGUUUCGUCCUGCCGGAGAUAACCUCCUACCCACUUCCAAAUGUGUGUUACUCGGGACCUUAUCAUGUUCAUGUCCAUAGCUAACCUUUUUAGGGACAAACUUCUUUGACCCAACUGUAUGGACAUUGGUGCAUCUUUUGGUCCCCAUUCACCAACUCCAUGCACCCUUUCACCAUUAUAUGUUGCAUUGGUUCGUCCUAUCGGGGAUAACUUGCUUUAUACUCUGAACGAUGUUACUCUUGUCAUGUUCAUCUCCAUUGCUUAAAACACACGAAAGACAUACUUCCUCGACCCAUAUGGAUGGUCAUUGUCCCAAAGUCUGGUCCACUGCCCCCCACCCAUUCACCAACAUCUGCUGCAUUGUUUCGUCUUAUCGAGGACAAUAUGCCUCCUAAUCCGACUGUUGUGUUACGCAUAACCUGCUCAUGUCCAUAGUUACCGCCAUCGUCCUCUAUAUCAUCUUCUCAUCCAUCUUCAUCAGUAGACCAACUAGAUACUCUUUUUCAAUCAAUUUUCUCAUGUUGUCAAAAUCAUAAUCUUCUGACUUUUCAUCACUCACCACCGUUUCUUCGGAAUCAUCUCUAGUAGCCUCCAACACACCUCCACUAAUUCGGAAUCAUCUCUUUCACGUUUUCGGUUAGUAGUUCUCGUUACAAUGUCCUUCUUCCUGUAAACAUCAUCUAUCUCAUCUACUUCUUCCAAAAAUCCCACCUCCUCAUACGUCAAUGGGAGACACUCAUUACCAUCCUUUUUCCCCGAACCAUCUGGUUAGUUGCCUUUUGUUCCGCAUCCACUAUCGCUACAGCUCUUACAACGUUCUGAUCAAAACUACAGCUUCCGCCUGGUCUUACCGCCACAAGCAAUUCUUCCUUGUCUUCUGCUAAAAUUAAAUACAUGUUCAUCCCCCUCUAACCUUAUAUUUUUGAAUUUUGACAAUGCAAUCUCGCUAUCCACCGAAACAGAUGGCAUCUUUUAAUACGUAAACACCGUUUCUCCCCCUUCGUACCAAAAACUGAGCUCAAUUUUCGUUCUCUUCGUGUCAAUCCCAAACACUUUCGCGAUUUUCUUUUCCAAAUCUAUAAACUUGUCUUCUUCUUCUAGAUCCACACACUUUGCAUAUUUCAUGUCCGACACCUGAAAACGCCAAAUACCACCCUCUUUACAUUCCCAUUCACCGACCAGUACCAUAACAUAUUCGUCCAUUGAAACAUGUCCACGCAAACGACAAGCAAGCAUUAGUUUAAAUUUUCCGUACCAUUUACAAAUCGUAUUGUUGCAUUUAUAACACUCAACCAACAUAACGGUUUUUAAAAAUCGUUACCUCAUUUCGUCUAAUGUCCCUCUCGCAACCACCACACUUCAAUUUUGUCUUGCAUAAACACUCUUAAAGUUUAAAUAAAUUCUCCAAUUUUCAGAUAUGAAUUUGCACAACCUCUAGUCACGUCUUUAAUAAUUAAUGGCCUAAACUUACUCUAUUAACUUAAUGCUUUACAUUUUUUUAAUCAGUUAAUUCAUUGUCUCCAUUAAAUGUCGAUGCUCCCCAUUUUCCCUCCAUCAGUUUCUACUAUCCUUUUCCUAACACACAUAUGACGCAACAAUUAAGGAAAAAAAAGUUUUAUUAUACCACACAAAUGUGGCAUAUACGAAAAGAAAUAAUCAGAAAUGGUAGAAAUGAAAAGCUUUUGAGAAAAAAUGGUAGAUAUGACUAAAUUCCAAAUAAAAAAGAGAUUUGCCUAGAAUGACUCUAAUCUUUACUAAAAUAACUCAAAUAACACCCGGUUGAUUUGGUUUACUAGAAUAACUCAUAUUUUUGUUAAAAAGUCUGAAAAACCUUUUUGGGUAACAAAAUUCACCAUCAUGCCAUUCAUUAUUUAAAUAAAUCAAAAAGCAAAAAUAAAACAAUUAACCAAAUAAAGAAGCAUUAUUACAUUUUCUAAAAAUAAAAAAAACAUAUCGACAUUCCCUUUAUUCUUCUUCAUCGUCGCAGACGAUUCCAAAAACACAAAAAACUCUACCUUUCUUUUUCAGUCGCCAUCGAAUCUCUUUGUCUCGUUUACCGGAUGCAUGUCAAAAUCUGGCCUCGCCGUCGAGUCUCCGUCAAUCGUACUUGAUUCUGUUGUUUGAGUGACCGGCGUUAGAGAUCUGUGUCGAUUCGUCGUUGGUUUCAUUUGGCUUCGUUCUAGAUCUUUAUCCUUCCAGCGAUUGUUAGUUCGUUAUUGGAACAAGAAAUUAGGGCAAUUUCAUCAGAUUAGUUAUCUCUAUCCUCUGUUGCAUAUGCGGCUUAACCGUUAAUUAUUCCGGUGCGUAAGAAGAGCUAUGCAAGGUUGGGAGUUAAGAGAAUUUCAAACGUCCCUGAGAAUGACGAUGCAGGCGAUUGUGCUAUCUACUCGAUAAAGUACAUCGAAUGUUUGGCGCUUAGGCAGUCAUUCGAUGGCUUGUGUGACAAGAACAUGCAGGCCCUCAGGACUAAACUUGCUGCGAAGAUGUUUGACGAAUUAGGAGAGUAUGCCGGAACACUUAACUCUGAUAUUCGUCGCAAGGACUUCCCUAUACCUCAGCUCGAUGAUUCCUAGAAGCUUUGUUUUUGUUAUCUUAGCCUUUUUUAUUUAGGUUAUCUCAGACUUUUGUAUGUCUGUUAUUUCAGACUUUUGCUUUUUUUGAAGCUUUGUCUAUAUGUUGGUUGUUUCAGCUCCGAGAGACUUUUUUUCGUUUGGCCCAAAAAAGACUGAAACUGUCUAUUGUUACCAAUAAUUACGGGUGGUAUAUCUGCUGGUAAUUUCUUCGAAUUUGAGAUCUUGUAACUCAAAACAACUUCGACUACCCUGUUAUCCAA
Long non-coding RNA from Arabidopsis lyrata subsp. lyrata, 2982 nucleotides. RefSeq lists it as uncharacterized. NCBI's taxonomy places the organism in Eukaryota, Viridiplantae, Streptophyta, Magnoliopsida, Brassicales, Brassicaceae. The record is from RefSeq and is a predicted model, not a curated record. The transcript has 4 exons.